RNAcentral lists this ribosomal RNA (492 nucleotides) under uncultured bacterium. RNAcentral's name for it is "SSU rRNA". It matches the Rfam family "Bacterial small subunit ribosomal RNA", at positions 26 to 518 of the family's 1533-position model. The record is from RNAcentral.
AGGACGAACGCUGGCGGCGUGCUUAACACAUGCAAGUGGAGCGACGAACCGGGGCUUGCCCCGGGGCAGAGCCGCGAACGGGUGAGUAACACGUGGGUUACCUGCCUUGAUGACCGGGACAACCCGAGGAAACUCGGGCUAAUACCGGAUGUGCCCGCAAGGGGAAAGGAAGCUUCGGCCUCCGCAUCGAGAUGGGCCCGCGGCCCAUUAGCUUGUUGGUGAGGUAACGGCUCACCAAGGCUUUGAUGGGUAGCUGGUCUGAGAGGACGAUCAGCCACACUGGGACUGAGACACGGCCCAGACUCCUACGGGAGGCAGCAGUGGGGAAUCUUGCGCAAUGCGCGAAAGCGUGACGCAGCAACGCCGCGUGGGGGAAGACGGCUUUCGGGUUGUAAACCCCUUUCAGUUGGGACGAAGCCUCAUCGGUUAAUAGCCGCGUGGGGUGACGGUACCUUCACAAGAAGCACCGGCUAACUACGCGCCAGCAGCCGC